CACUUUGUCUUUAUGGCAAAUGUGAGAUGCAGUGUAUGGAAUGUCAAAUUUCUAGUAUGAGAAAUUAACGAUUUAAGUCCUUCUUAAAUGAGGCCAUUUACCCAUAGAGGGUGCCAGGCCCGUAUAACGUUAAUGAUUACUAGAUGGCAUUUCCAAAGAGUCGUGUUGCUUGAUAGUGCAGCACUAAGUGGGUGGUAAACUCCAUCUAAAACUAAAUAUAACCAUGAGACCGAUAGUAAACAAGUACCGUGAGGGAAAGUUGAAAAGAACUCUGAAUAGAGAGUUAAAUAGUACGUGAAACUGCUUAGAGGUUAAGCCCGAUGAACCUGAAUAUCCAUUAUAGAAAAUUCAUCAUUAUGAUUUUAAUAUAAUUUAAUAUCAAAAUAAUGGUGUGCAUUUUUUCUAUAAAGGACAUUGUAAUCUAUUGACAUAAAUGAAAAUUUAUCAAAAGAUCAAUUGCGUAAGUUUAUUCAAAUUAUUUUGCUUGCAAUUUAACAUAAAAUAAAUGCUUUUGAUUUGAUAAAGUGUUGAUAGAUUUAUAACAUAUAGUGCUUGAAUAUUUUAUAUUCUAUAAUAGCAUAUUAAUUUAUAAUUUUUGUGUUUAUUAUAUGCACUUAUAUGAUUAACAAUGCGAAAGAUUCAGGAUACCUUCGGGACCCGUCUUGAAACACGGACCAAGGAGUCUAACAUAUUUGCAAGUUAUUGGGAAUAAAAACCUAAUAGCGAAAUUAACAUAACUUAUUAUUGGGAUUAGUUUUUAGUCUAUUUAUAGUCUAUUAAUUCAAUCCCGGGGCGUUCUAUAUAGUUAUGUAUAAUAAUAUUUAUAUUAUUUAUACCUCUAACUAGAGCGUACCUUGAGCAUAUAUGCUGUGACCCGAAAGAUGGUGAACUAUACUUGAUCAGGUUGAAGUCAGGGGAAACCCUGAUGGAAGACCGAAACAGUUCUGACGUGCAAAUCGAUUGUCAGAAUUGCAGUAUAGGGCG
RNAcentral lists this ribosomal RNA (984 nucleotides) under Aplomya theclarum. RNAcentral's name for it is "eukaryotic LSU rRNA". It matches the Rfam family "Eukaryotic large subunit ribosomal RNA", at positions 120 to 925 of the family's 3401-position model. The record is from RNAcentral. Lineage: Eukaryota; Metazoa; Arthropoda; Insecta; Diptera; Tachinidae.